RNAcentral lists this long non-coding RNA (821 nucleotides) under Hordeum vulgare. RNAcentral's name for it is "long non-coding RNA (HVUL_LNC008763)". The record is from RNAcentral. Lineage: Eukaryota; Viridiplantae; Streptophyta; Magnoliopsida; Poales; Poaceae.
GGCCUUUCAUUCAUUCAUCUCUUCCUGCUACUGGUAGCCACAAUACACACAUAUGAACACACAUGGAAGGAAGAAAGGGACAUGCCUCGUGCUGCUACAAGGUUGAAGGUGAAAUUCAUGCCUCUUUCCUAGUCCCUGGGUUGGCCAUUGCGGUACAAGCCAGGGAGUUUCUUUUUUUCACCUCUUCAAAUCUCUAGCCCUUGGUUCGGCCAUCGCGGUACAAACCAAGGUGCUUGUUUUACCUACCCAAAAUAUUGUUCUUGGUUCGGCCAUCACGGUACAAACCAAGGUGUUUGUUUCAUCUACCCAAAACAUUGCCCUUGGUUCGGCCAUUGCGAUACAAACCAAGGUGCAUGUUUCAUCUACCUAAAACAUUGUCUUUGGUUCGACCAUCGCGGUACAAACCAAUGUGCUUGUUUCAUCUACCCAAAACAUUGUUCUUGGUUCGGCCAUCACGGUACAAAGCAAGGUGCUUGUUUCAUCUACCCAACACAUUGUCCUUGGUUUGGCCAUCGCGGUACAAACAAAGGUGCUUGUUACAUCUCAAAUUUUGGUCUUUGGUUCGGCCAUCGCGGUACGAGCCAAGGAAUAUUUAUGGUGCUUUACGUGAAACAUAUGCUUCAUCCUCAUGAUUUUCUUCUUGACUCGGUCCCGUUAGAGAUACAAUCCAAGAUGAACGCCUCGUUCCUUGGUUUGGUCCCUAUACGUGGAUACAAAUCAAGAGAAUAUCAUAAGGACAAAAACUUCAUGAAGAUUGCCUUAGUUUGUUUAUCGUAAACAAAAUUUAUAUGACUGAGUUGGAAUGGAAAAUAAUGAAUGUG